Molecule: non-coding RNA, 180 nt
Filed under: Eubacteriales Family XIII. Incertae Sedis bacterium
Lineage: Bacteria; Bacillati; Bacillota; Clostridia; Peptostreptococcales; Anaerovoracaceae
Description: 6S RNA
Rfam family: 6S / SsrS RNA
About the family: E. coli 6S RNA was the first non coding RNA to be sequenced, but its function was unknown until recently.
Source: RNAcentral
GGUUUCCUGAAAUGUACGACAUUGAUUGUAAGAAUUAUCCAACAUUGAAGUACCGGGAUCACCGGGUCAUCGAUGCGGCUGCCGGGCCGGCUCCGACCGGAAGGCAAAAGCAGCGAGCAGGGAUCCCACCUAACGCGGUUAGGGUACUUUGAACAAUCAAAUCGGCAUUUCGGGGCCCUA